Taeniopygia guttata (zebra finch) is the source of this 5847-nucleotide long non-coding RNA. Lineage: Eukaryota; Metazoa; Chordata; Aves; Passeriformes; Estrildidae. The record is from Ensembl.
AUGCCUCUGUAUGUGUUUCCCGCUGUCCUCAGAAGGAUGGGAUAGCUGAAGCUGCACAGAGUGCUGGGCCCAAACACGUUCCAAAAUAGGUGAUGGAGCAGAGCAUUGCUAUCUGGAUGAGAGGGAACCUGAGCUUGCCCUCUGGGGAUGUUGUGUGGGGCACCAUAAAGCUGUUGCUGAAGACACACUUGCAAGCAGGUGACCUGGAUGUGUUGCAGUUCGACCUGUGGAGCAGAGUCAUCAGGCAGAGUGUCUCGGUGUGAUGGGUUUUCCUGUGCCCCACUACCUCUCCAGCAGAAGUCCAGGCUGCAGAGGGCACACCGACCAUGUGACAUCCCAGAUCUUCUGGCUCCAGUAGACCUGUACGAUGCCACCAGGCCAUAACAAAGCUUACCAAGAGUGUAGAUGAGCAAGAACAGCUGCAGCAGGAUCGUGUAGGGUGGUCUGGUGCAGCUGUGAGCCCAUAUGGUGGAAGAACUCAGUGGGGCAUGAGGAGUUCCUGGCACUUCUCACAUCAGAUAUGAGAGUUUGGUUACCAAUUUCCUGGAAGAUUCCAUAAUCACCUGUCAAGUGGAGACACCCAGGCAUCCUACUCCACUUCCAAGCAGAAAAAGUGCCAUGACUGGUCUGCUGGCUCACUUUUGAGCCCCUGUGUUCUCAAGUGUAGGAAUUCCACUCACAUAGCUGGGUCAGUGGGUGAUGGAGGACACACCUGCAAACUCGUCAAUGCCACUAGUGUAGUGUCCAUAGCCUUUGAUAGGACUUAUGCUCACAGUAUUCUUUGUUUUUUAGAAUGUUGUUGUUGUUGUUGACCCUAACUUUGGUGUUUGGAGAUACCCUGUCACAGACUAGUAACUCUAAAUAAAAUUGGAUAAAUUGAUCUAAUGAGAAAGUGGACAGACUGGGCCAUAAUAAUAGGGCAGAAAAUGCAAGAAAUCUUAAUAUUUUUAGUACAUUUCAACAGACAUAUGCUGGUCCUGUAGAUACUUUUUUAUCAGGUUGCCUUAAGAUCACAGAAUAUUUCGGUUCUAUUUUUCUCUGACAUCUCAUUCAGAGGGAUAAAACCCUAAGAGUGCUCCUUGGUGCAUGUAAUUUUUCUGAACUUCAGGCCUCGCUCACUAAGGAUGACCAGUUUCUCAGUCUUGUCUGGCAAGACUGUGUCUGAUCUCAUCUGGUCCUAGUAAACAAGGGUAGCCUGUAUGAAAAUAUGUAUGGGACAAUUCAACUGCUGGCUUUGAGUGCUGGCUGCAGCAAGAACAGCUGCCUCAUUUUGAAAUGUCCUCUCUAUUUGCUUACUGGUGUCCCAUUGUGGUAGGUAAUCCACAGAGUUAAAUAUUAGUUGGCUUUCAGGUCUGCUCCUUGCCAGUGACUCUUCUAUAUAAGGUUAAUACAGUUGUCUUGCACUUGUCAAACCGGAAAACAAAUGUGUUAACAAUUAAAGCUUAUUUUGCACUGUACAGUAUGUGACUGUUCUCUGUACUCAGUGUCCUUUGGGAUGACUGCCUCAGCCUCCUGUGGAGUUUAAUUGCCACUUGUCCUAGGGUCGGGGGGCAGUCUUGGGAUGAACUCCUAAUUUCGUACAGAGGGAAGUGGGGAAUUUGGCAUGGUCUUAGGGGACCUGACCCUGCAGCAAAACUGUUUUACUGAGGAAAGAACAAAUAUUGGCAAGUGCAUGACUAGUAUUUUCUGGGAACCUGUGGACUUGAUAGGCACCUGAGGCAUUUGCUGCUCUUCCUUAUGUUGACUGCUGAGUAGCCCUGUAUUUUCCCAUGACCCCUGUGAUGGAUCAAGCUUCCCUAAAUUGUGUCUAGAGAGCUCAAACAAGAAUUUUCCGACAUUAAAAAUGUGUUUGGGGUGAGUUCAGGGAAGUUUGUCUAACUCUUAACAAAACUUCUGUCCAUUUUUAUGGCAGAGGAAGAAGGAUCUGUUGUGACCAAGCCUUCUCUAGAGUCAGUGAUAGUCUGUGUCUGUUGUAUCAGAAAGAAAAAUGUGGGAAAAAAAAGCCAAAAACAGACAGGGAAGAAAUUUUAAAAAAACUGAACAGGAAUUUGAAAAUAAUGAAAAAAGAGGGGACCCUGAAUUUGCAAAAUCAAGCUGAUGCAACAUUGCUGGCAUAGGAGGAUAUUGGUAGUGCCUUUGCAUAUCGCCCUUGCUUGCAGGUGCUGUGUUACUAUGGCUGUGUUCAGGGCUAUUUCUGGGCAAGGGCUGCAGUGUCUCAUCCUCAGACAGCCCCAGCAGGAUUUUUAAGGGGUCCCCAUGGUCUUUGCACAUACUUGCAUCAGUACUAUCUCACUGGCAAUGCCACGAGCCAAAGCUAGUGACUGUUUGAAACUCCUGGGCACUGUGGUCAUUGGAAGGGACCAAACAUGCUGCUUAUGGCACUAGAGAAUGGAUGGAUAGCUUUGCCAGUGGGAGUUUCUGUUCUUUGGCAGGAGCAGAAUAGAAGCAUAUCCCAAGAGGUACAUGCUGGAGCUCUGAUUUUGUGUGAGGGGUACCUGGUUUUACCUGUGGACAUUGUACAUCACCAUGGAGAUUCUGAAGCCUGAGCAUGUGGUGGGUUUAUAUUCCUCGACAUCAUAAUGACCAUGUAUUUCUUCCUGUAGUGUUGAAGGGGAAAAUAUAUCACAUUCGAACCCUACAUCUCUUGGCUUUGCACCUCUUCAGUGGAGAAUUACAAUCAGUACAGCAAUGUCCUUGCCAGCCUGACAGAUCUGCUGACAGUGUAAGAGUUAAGAAGCCCUCAAAAAAACCCCAGUGCCUGCUACUGCAGCGCUGAUGAUUGCACUUUUCCAUUUGCCUGGCCCUCCAUGGAGCCUUUAGCUCCCUCCUGCUUUUCCUGAACCUUGCAAGUGUUCACCUGUCAUGGUAGGGCUGUGCAGCAAGAUCAGCGCCGAGGCAGGAGGCCACUGACAAACUGAGCCCUUCUGGGUGGAUGGAUGAUUGAUAACCUGUGAAACAGGCAGGAGCUAAGAGGGCCGGGAGGAGCAUGCUGGAGUAUCUGGAGAUUUGGAAAGUUUCUUCUCUCUGAUGGAGUACACAAGGUCAGUAAUUUGGACACUGGUGGGCAGUGGUAACUCACAGCUCUCCCCUGAGGUCCUCAGGAGGUUGCACCUACCAGUGUAGUGCAGGUCCAGGCAGUUCACUCCUGGUGCUUUAUUGGACUCUGCAGUAUUUCAGGUUUAGUAAGGGUGGUAGAGAAUUAGGUAGGUAGUAGGUUUGCCUUUUCUGUGUCUGAUAUCUUAAGGCAAAGUGAGAGUUUACAGUCACAAGGCUUUAGGUUUUGAGAAUAAGAGGUGCACAGGGCUUAAAGGGAGCCUUAGAGCUUCAUCCGUGAUGGAGGGAGGUGUCAGCUUAAUGUUCUCAAGGUGUUCAAUUAGACCCAGCUCUUCCAGUUUCUGGUUGAAUGGCUUAAGUAUUACUUUAUGUUAAAUAUUUAAUACUUAUAAGUUAAAGAUGGGUAAUGGCCAAGUCUUUCCAUCCUUUAAAAGAACAUGACUCUCUCUUUUCAACUGGACUGAAGACGGUUAUUUGGUGGCAUAGCAGGUGACAUUAGAGCAACCUAACAAAUUAGACACCUAUGGGGAUGUCAGCAGUUAUUGCAGAGUACAUAUUAGUGCAGAGACUUGUAGAUGCUUUUUGGGUUUCCCUGUGGUAAGGUGCCUGUGAAAUGUCAGGAAGCCAUGCAGUCAAAUUGGAUUUCCAUGGGUUGCUCAUAUGGAUUUAUUAAACUGCCUAUUUGUAGCAAGCGGGUUUUGUACGUGAUAGACUGUUAAUAGCUGUUGAGUGUUUAUAUAGAGUCUUCCUUAUGAAUGUCUUCUUAAGUGUAAGUGCCCAAAUACUUGGGAUUUAUCAAUUAUUAUUAUGUACUUACAGAAAACAUUACUAGUGGGGCAACUCUAAUGUCUUUUAAUGUGGCUAUAGUAUGAGAUAAAUAAAUUUUUUUUCGAUGAAAAGGGAAAAAAAUCUGGUCAAUUUGAAUAAGAUAAUUACCAUGAGAGCAGAAUAAAAAGUCUUGGGCCUAAAUACAGGGACAGCAAUAUUUUAUAGUGCUAAUGACUGUUCUUUAUGGCUAAUUUUUAAAAUCAAAAUUUAGACUCAAUCCUGGACACUGGUACAUGCAAAACAAAAACUAACUUUUAAAUUAAAAUUCCUGCAAUCCCAUUAUGCUAAGUAAUACAGUAGUGUGGAUUUACUGUAUUUCUCUUGUAAGUACCCUUUCAAAAGUACCUAAAUAAAGUUCAGAUAAUUUCCUACAAUAUUUCAGAUAAUUUUCUGGGUAAAUGUUCUGUGUCUGGAAAUUUCCAUACAAGGUAGUUUAGCUGCAACUAUGUGGAAUUAGGUAGCAAGACGUUCAGAUGUGUGGUUUGUAGAAGUUUGUGAACUCUAAUACUAUUGUAAUCAGAAUCUAUAAAUAAGAACUCUUCAAAGUGAGAAAUUUUUCCCUUCUUUAAGAUGCCCCAACUAAACCCACCCGAGGCAGCCUCACGGCACAGCAUGAAAUGGGAUCUGCCUCAGGUAUUGAGUUAUAUUUGCUUUUAAAACCCAUCCAUAAAGAGCAUUACAGAAGACCGUUUGUGCUAAAAAGGAAAAGCUGUCCAAAGUUAAGGCUCUGUGGGAGAUCUUUCCUAGGGCGCACUCAGACACAAAACUUCCAUCUCGCUGCUCAGUGACCUGAUGCUAUCAGGUGCUGAGUGCCUUCAGGUUCCUUUGCUGUCAGGGGGGAAAAACCUGCACACCUCAAGAUCAGGCCCUUGGCCCUCAGUAUUUGCACACUCAUGCUGGCACUGUGUGCAGUGGGAUGGAUGUUUAAUGCUGGCACCAAAGACUGAUGCUGCAGCUGUCCUGGAAAUACUCGUGGUAGAAGCUGAAGGAGCAUUUGAGUUGCUUACAGGGUAAGAAGAACUUUAAGGCUUCUCUGGUAUUUCUUUUCAGAUUUCGUGCUAAUAUUUAUGGUUUUCUGCUUCUUUCUGUGCUUAAAUUUUCUACCUGGCUUUUCUAGCUGAGUUGCUUGUUACAGCUAGUUAUCUCUUGGAGACUGCAGACACCUCCCUCCAUCUCUUCUUCUCUCAGGAAGAUUUCACAGCCUCCAGUAACCCCAGUGCUGUGACCCCAGGAUCCCUUCAGUGCCCAGAGCCUGCAGGUCUCAUGCUGGCUGCCCCAACCAUCAGGCUCUGCUGGGCUCUCCCUCCACAGCCUCCCCAGCUUGCCCAGGGUACCAGUGCCCAAAAACAAGGCUAGAGGUGUUGUCACUGUAUGUAGUCAAUGUUCUCUGCACUGAUGUGCUGGAGAUUUCUCUGCUAAUGCAUUUUCUUCUUCUGGAUGAUCAGUAAGUGUGGCAAUUCCUAUUAUUAAUUCAGUGACUUUAAACAAAUCCUAAGAAACAACUGAGGCUUUUCUCAAGGGAGAGUGUACUGAAAAAGAUAAAUGGCAUAGUUAUUUUCCCCUUUGGUAUUUUCUUUGCUGAGUAUACCUGUGCAUUUACAUAAUCAUAGAGCCAGCACAACAUGUAUUUUUGUUAAAUUUUGAGUUGCUCUUUUUUUUAACCCCAUCACAAAUUGUGUUACUGGAAACAAGACAUACAUCUGGUCUGUAACUAACAUGAUUGUAGUUUUAUGUUUUCAUGUGUCUUGAUCUCAAACAAGAAUGUUACUUGCAUUGAUGCAUGCAUUUCAUGGUCUUUCAGAAUUAAAUGGAAAACACAGCCUUUCAGGAAGCCUUAAUACCUUUCCAUAUGGAGGCAGUGCCUUGCUGUGCACAUGGUCUUUGAUUUGUUUUCAGUUCUGAAAUUUCUUACCUUAUGGUCUAUGUUCCUUUAUUAUUUUUAUUUUUUAAUAAAGAAGUGAAAUU